AUACUACCGGCAACAGCCCGAAACUCAAAGGACUUGGCGGUGCUUUAUACCCUUCUAGAGGAGCCUGUUCUAUAAUCGAUAAACCCCGAUAAACCUCACCAAUCCUUGCUAAUACAGUCUAUAUACCGCCAUCUUCAGCAAACCCUAAAAAGGGACAAAAGUAAGCUCAAUCACAACACAUAAAGACGUUAGGUCAAGGUGUAACCCAUGGAAUGGGAAGAAAUGGGCUACAUUUUCUACUUAAGAAAACCAAUACGAAAGCCAUUAUGAAAUUAAUGGCCAAAGGAGGAUUUAGUAGUAAACUAGGAAUAGAGUGCUUAGUUGAAUUAGGCCAUGAAGCACGCACACACCGCCGGUCACCCUC
This 364-nucleotide ribosomal RNA is filed under the name Hemitragus jemlahicus schaferi. Its description in RNAcentral is "partial 12S ribosomal RNA". It matches the Rfam family "Bacterial small subunit ribosomal RNA", at positions 877 to 1404 of the family's 1533-position model. The record is from RNAcentral. Lineage: Eukaryota; Metazoa; Chordata; Mammalia; Artiodactyla; Bovidae.